RNAcentral lists this microRNA precursor (271 nucleotides) under Colletotrichum orbiculare MAFF 240422. Its description in RNAcentral is "microRNA MIR821". Lineage: Eukaryota; Fungi; Ascomycota; Sordariomycetes; Glomerellales; Glomerellaceae. The record is from RNAcentral.
UAUUACUAAGGUUUAAAUUAUUAUACCCCUAUCGUAGGGAUUUCAUAGCUUUUUUGCAGAACCUUCUAGAAAGGUAUUUCUCUAGGAAAUCCCCGGGAUUUCCCGUGGAAUGCCCUAGGAUCCCUCUGUUAUAGGGUAUAUAAUAGAAAGAUCUUAGGGCAUUCCACGGGAAAUCUUAGGGAUUUUAUAGAGAAAUAUCUUUCUGGAAGGUUCCGCGAAAAAACUACGAAAUCCCUACGAUAGAAGUAUAAUAAUUUAAACCCUAGUAAUA